This 2943-nucleotide ribosomal RNA is filed under the name Acinetobacter baumannii. RNAcentral's name for it is "bacterial LSU rRNA". It matches the Rfam family "Bacterial large subunit ribosomal RNA". Lineage: Bacteria; Pseudomonadati; Pseudomonadota; Gammaproteobacteria; Moraxellales; Moraxellaceae. The record is from RNAcentral.
GUUGUAUAGUCAAGUAAUUAAGUGCAUGUGGUGGAUGCCUUGGCAGUCAGAGGCGAUGAAAGACGUGAUAGCCUGCGAAAAGCUCCGGGGAGGCGGCAAAUAUCCUUUGAUCCGGAGAUGUCUGAAUGGGGGAACCCACCUACUUUAAGGUAGGUAUUGCAACAUGAAUACAUAGUGUUGCAAGGCGAACGAGGGGAAGUGAAACAUCUCAGUACCCUUAGGAAAAGAAAUCAAUUGAGAUUCCCUCAGUAGCGGCGAGCGAACGGGGAUCAGCCCAUUAAGUUAUGUGUGUUUUAGUGGAACGCUCUGGGAAGUGCGAACGUAGAGGGUGAUAUUCCCGUACACGAAAGGGCACACAUAAUGAUGACGAGUAGGGCGAGGCACGUGAAACCUUGUCUGAAUAUGGGGGGACCAUCCUCCAAGGCUAAAUACUCCUGACUGACCGAUAGUGAACCAGUACCGUGAGGGAAAGGCGAAAAGAACCCCUGUGAGGGGAGUGAAAUAGAUCCUGAAACCGCAUGCAUACAAGCAGUGGGAGCACCUUCGUGGUGUGACUGCGUACCUUUUGUAUAAUGGGUCAGCGACUUAUAUUCAGUAGCGAGGUUAACCGUAUAGGGGAGCCGUAGAGAAAUCGAGUCUUAAUAGGGCGUUUAGUUGCUGGGUAUAGACCCGAAACCAGGCGAUCUAUCCAUGAGCAGGUUGAAGGUUGGGUAACACUAACUGGAGGACCGAACCCACUGUCGUUGAAAAGCCAGGGGAUGACUUGUGGAUAGGGGUGAAAGGCUAAUCAAGCCUGGUGAUAGCUGGUUCUCCCCGAAAGCUAUUUAGGUAGCGCCUCGGACGAAUACCAUAGGGGGUAGAGCACUGUUUCGGCUAGGGGGUCAUCCCGACUUACCAAACCGAUGCAAACUCCGAAUACCUAUGAGUACUAUCCGGGAGACAGACUGCGGGUGCUAACGUCCGUAGUCAAGAGGAAAACAAUCCAGACCGCCAGCUAAGGCCCCAAAAUCAUAGUUAAGUGGGAAACGAUGUGGGAAGGCAUAGACAGCUAGGAGGUUGGCUUANNNNNNNNNNNGAAGCAGCCACCCUUUAAAGAAAGCGUAAUAGCUCACUAGUCGAGUCGGCCUGCGCGGAAGAUGUAACGGGGCUAAAACUAUGUGCCGAAGCUGCGGAUGUAUACUUUGUAUACGUGGUAGGGGAGCGUUCUGUAAGCCGAUGAAGGUGUGUUGAGAAGCNNNNNNNNNNNNNNAUGCUGGAGGUAUCAGAAGUGCGAAUGCUGACGUGAGUAACGACAAAACGGGUGAAAAACCCGUUCGCCGAAAGACCAAGGGUUCCAGUCCAACGUUAAUCGGGGCUGGGUGAGUCGACCCCUAAGGCGAGGCCGAAAGGCGUAGUCGAUGGGAAAAUGGUUAAUAUUCCAUUACUUCUGUGUAAUGCGAUGAGAGGACGGAGAAGGCUAAAUCAGCCUGGCGUUGGUUGUCCAGGUGAAAGGAUGUAGGCAUGUAUCUUAGGCAAAUCCGGGGUACUCUAUGCUGAGAUCUGAUAGCAAGCUGUACUUGUACAGCGAAGUGGUUGAUGCCAUGCUUCCAGGAAAAGUCUCUAAGCUUCAGUUACACAGGAAUCGUACCCGAAACCGACACAGGUGGUCAGGUCGAGUAGACCAAGGCGCUUGAGAGAACUCUGCUGAAGGAACUAGGCAAAAUGGUACCGUAACUUCGGGAGAAGGUACGCUGUUGUUGGUGAUGGAACUCGCUUCCUGAGCUGACGACAGCCGCAGAAACCAGGCCGCUGCAACUGUUUAUUAAAAACAUAGCACUCUGCAAACACGAAAGUGGACGUAUAGGGUGUGAUGCCUGCCCGGUGCUGGAAGGUUAAUUGAUGGGGUUAGCGUAAGCGAAGCUCUUGAUCGAAGCCCCAGUAAACGGCGGCCGUAACUAUAACGGUCCUAAGGUAGCGAAAUUCCUUGUCGGGUAAGUUCCGACCUGCACGAAUGGCAUAAUGAUGGCGGCGCUGUCUCCAGCAGAGGCUCAGUGAAAUCGAAAUCGCUGUGAAGAUGCAGUGUACCCGCGGCUAGACGGAAAGACCCCGUGAACCUUUACUGCAGCUUGACACUGAACUUUGACCUUACUUGUGUAGGAUAGGUGGGAGGCUUUGAAGCUGGAACGCUAGUUCCAGUGGAGCCGUCCUUGAAAUACCACCCUGGUAAUGUUGAGGUUCUAACUCUGUCCCGUGAUCCGGGACGAGGACCGUGUCUGGUGGGUAGUUUGACUGGGGCGGUCUCCUCCUAAAGAGUAACGGAGGAGUACGAAGGUGCGCUCAGCGUGGUCGGAAAUCACGCGUAGAGUAUAAAGGCAAAAGCGCGCUUAACUGCGAGACCCACAAGUCGAGCAGGUACGAAAGUAGGUCUUAGUGAUCCGGUGGUUCUGUAUGGAAGGGCCAUCGCUCAACGGAUAAAAGGUACUCUGGGGAUAACAGGCUGAUACCGCCCAAGAGUUCAUAUCGACGGCGGUGUUUGGCACCUCGAUGUCGGCUCAUCUCAUCCUGGGGCUGAAGCAGGUCCCAAGGGUAUGGCUGUUCGCCAUUUAAAGAGGUACGCGAGCUGGGUUUAGAACGUCGUGAGACAGUUCGGUCCCUAUCUACCGUGGGCGCUGGAAAUUUGAGAGGAUCUGCUCCUAGUACGAGAGGACCAGAGUGGACGAACCUCUGGUGUACCGGUUGUGACGCCAGUCGCAUCGCCGGGUAGCUAUGUUCGGAAGGGAUAACCGCUGAAAGCAUCUAAGCGGGAAGCCUACCUCAAGAUAAGAUUUCCCUAGGACUUUAUGUCCUCUAAAGAGCCGUUCGAGACUAGGACGUUGAUAGGUUGGAUGUGGAAGCAUAGUGAUAUGUGAAGCUGACCAAUACUAAUUGCUCGUGAGGCUUGACUAUACAACACCCAAGCAGUUG